AACAUCGCGCACCUGCGGGAACCUGCGGAGGGAUCAUUACAGAGUUGCAAAACUCCCUAAACCAUUGUGAACGUUACCUAAACCGUUGCUUCGGCGGGCGGCCCGGGUCCUUCCCGGCGCCCCUCGGCCCUCGCGGGCGCCCGCCGGAGGUAAACCAAACUAUUGCAUUGUAUGGCCUCUCUGAGUCUUCUGUACUGAAUAAGUCAAAACUUUUAGCAAUGGAUCUCAGAUCGGAAGAGC
RNAcentral lists this unclassified non-coding RNA (240 nucleotides) under soil metagenome. Its description in RNAcentral is "partial contains 5.8S ribosomal RNA, internal transcribed spacer 2, and large subunit ribosomal RNA". The record is from RNAcentral.